CAGGGGAAGAGGGAGAGUGAUAUUUGAUAAAUAAUGUAAUGAUAUAUUUUCCAAUUUCCAUGCUAGAAGAAAACAUAGAACAAAACGAAUAAUGUUGAACAUGAUAAGAAAAGCAGAGUCAUUAUUUGAAGAUGUUGAUGAAUUUGUAUUUUGAGUUUGCCCUUUAGGCUGGAUGAACUUGCUCUGCAUAUGGAGGCCAGUACAGGUGAAA
This 211-nucleotide unclassified non-coding RNA is filed under the name Hevea brasiliensis (rubber tree). Lineage: Eukaryota; Viridiplantae; Streptophyta; Magnoliopsida; Malpighiales; Euphorbiaceae. The record is from RNAcentral.